AAGGCAGGAAGGAAGGAGUGAAGGAUGGGAGAGGGAGGGAAGCAUCUGUACUUCAGGGCUCAGAGAUCCCUCCACCUCCCUACUCCAUCUCAGCAUGCUUUCUCGAUGUUUCCUGUCGCUCCCCCCUUAAGGGCGCGACGCAGGGAACCCUGAGCCACCCUGUUGCCAUCUGCUCUAUUUGUGUGCCCAAGCCCAGCAAAGCUGCACUGUGGCCAACACAGACAAUCUGGCAGGACUCCAAGACUUCUGGGUUAGAACCCCAGCUUGCAAUGCACCACCGAGCAAUACUUUGUCAUGCAUUCAUCCAGCAAAUUCUUGAUCAAUAUUCACCCCACCGCUGCGGGCCAGGCUCUGCGCUAGAAGCACAGGCACAGCACUGAGCGAGGUGCACGGGGUCCCUGCUUUCUUCUUCUGGGAGAGACGGACAACAAGCAAAUGAGCAAACGGCAGGUGGUGAUUGCUCUGCCCAUAAGAUGCCUAUUCAUUACAAAGAAAAAAAUAGUAACACAGUACAGAAACCUGGCAGACAGCACCGUAACCAAGUGAUCAAAGUAAACACCACCAGUAAUGGAUCAAAUGGACAUCAUGUGCCUCCCAAUACGAUGCCCUGAGAAGGACACACAUCGCCUCGGCGGGGUUUCUGCCCAACACACAGAACCUGAAUCUAGUCACAGGAAACAUCAGACGAAGCCAAACUAAGCGACAGUCCACACAAAGAAUCCCGGCCUAUACUUUUCAGAAGUGUUCAUGUCACAAAAGGCAAAGACAGACUAAGGGACCACGCCAGAUUAAAGGAGAUUAAAAAGGCACAAUAACUGAAUACAAUGUAUGACUCGAGAUUAGAUCCUGGGCCAGAAAAAGAUUUGAUUUCUUUUCUUACGAAGGACAUUAGUGGGACAACUAAUGAGAAUUUGAAUAAGAACUGUCAAUCAGGUAA
This is a long non-coding RNA of Neofelis nebulosa (Clouded leopard), 937 nucleotides long. RefSeq lists it as uncharacterized. Lineage: Eukaryota; Metazoa; Chordata; Mammalia; Carnivora; Felidae. The record is from RefSeq and is a predicted model, not a curated record. The transcript has 2 exons.